CGUAGCCUACCAAUAAAGUACACACACAGCCGAUCACGAAGCAGCCGACGAACCCCUUUACGCGUGUGCCCCAGCCGAGUGUGGAAGCUUCGUUGGCAGCCUAAACACCGAGUUCAGAUCAUACCGGAAACCUGUCCGUGCAUUACACCAACCUCCCCCAUUGCCCCUGUACAACUACCUGAUAUGGACAGUGGUAGAACAUGUGACCGACUCCAGCAUGGGGACCCGUACCUUCGAUGAAGAAGGCGAGAGCCAACGCCAGCCGGUCCAGGGCGAGGGGCGCGGCUUCCGUGACGUGAACGACCAGCGAGACGGCGCCGGCCAGCGAGAAGAACAGGUACAUGGUGGCGUGCUGCCAGUUCAUCAGGUCCUUCCACUGGUUUUCCGACGUGUCGUACAGUCGGAGGUGCGGGCCACCCGCCGCAAACUGCUCCGCCAACAUCCCUGAGGAGGGCAACGUUCUGUCUUCAGUCAUUCUGCGUCAGCAUUGGUCAAUGGCAUCACAUGAUAAAUCAAGCUUCUGCAUAACUCUUAAAGGUGACAUAGUAUACCACCAGGUGUGAGUGUGAUUAGCCGUUACAAGCCGUUUUAAAAAUAUGCCUCUUCUGAUAUCACAAGUGGGCGUUUCUGUCUAGAUGUAUGACGGAUAGAUGAGCAAUGUUUGCCACAGUCCACUGGGUUGGCUGAUACACUGAUCUAUCCAGCACACAUCUAGGUGGACACGCCCACUUGUGAUGUCAGAAGAGGCAGAUUUUCCAAAAGGCUUGCAAUGGCUAAUCACACUCACACCUGGUGGUAUAAUAUGGCACCUUUAAUUAAUGCAAGGACCUUAAAUGGUUACUAGUAGUAGUUUCCUCAUGGGUAAAAAACUAACGUCUGUAUGUUUGUUUAUGCGCACCUUUAAACCAAAUGAUCAAAUCUUUAACUUUUUUUAUCUGCCAAAAUAAAUUGAAUAGAUACAGCUAAUAAACCAGCCAUCUCCCAUGACACACAGCUAUAGAGGUUGUGGAUAACUCUGUGUAGCCUACUUCUUACUACAAAAGUAGUAAGAGGUAUGCUACACAUACAUUAACGUACACACUACACAUCCCAUAAUUGAAGUGAUAGAAUAAAGAAAAACAACUAACAUUAGCAUGUAGCAUUACCGCUACAGCUCAUAACAGCAUAUCGACCAGCUGGUUAACCCUUGAUGCAGACCAGUCCACCUACCGACCACAGAGAAGAGGAGCAUGAGGGAGCUCUCCAUGACCUCCAGGCGGCGCUGGGACACUCUGCUGGCCAGGCGGGUGGAGCCAAGGCACUUGUUACGGCGGGUGGCGUACCAGAAGGAGUACUUCCCGGUCCACCACAGCCCGCCGAUCAGGAAGAAGCUCCCAGGAAGAGCGUGGCCCUUGAAGCUUCCCAUGAUGCCUCG
Gadus macrocephalus (Pacific cod) is the source of this 1414-nucleotide long non-coding RNA. RefSeq lists it as uncharacterized. The record is from RefSeq and is a predicted model, not a curated record. The transcript is spliced from 2 exons. NCBI's taxonomy places the organism in Eukaryota, Metazoa, Chordata, Actinopteri, Gadiformes, Gadidae.